CCUACGGGUGGCAGCAGUCGAGAAUCAUUCACAAUGGGGGAAACCCUGAUGGUGCGACGCCGCGUGGGGGAAUGAAGGUCUUCGGAUUGUAAACCCCUGUCAUGUGGGAGCAAAUUAAAAAGAUAGUACCACAAGAGGAAGAGACGGCUAACUCUGUGCCAGCAGACGCGGUAAUACAGAGGUCUCAAGCGUUAUUCGGAAUCACUGGGCGUAAAGCGUGCGGAGGCUGUUUCGUAAGUCGUGUGUGAAAGGCGCGGGCUCAACCCGCGGACGGCACAUGAUACUGCGAGACUGGAGGAAUGGAGGGGGAACCGGAAUUCUCGGUGUAGCAGUGAAAUGCGUAGAUAUCGAGAGGAACACUCGUGGCGAAGGCGGGUUCCUGGACAUUAACUGACGCUGAGGCACGAAGGCCAGGGGAGCGAAAGGGAUUAGAUACCCCAGUAGUC
Molecule: ribosomal RNA, 446 nt
Filed under: uncultured bacterium
Lineage: Bacteria
Description: partial 16S ribosomal RNA
Rfam family: Bacterial small subunit ribosomal RNA
Source: RNAcentral